This 119-nucleotide ribosomal RNA is filed under the name Anabas testudineus (climbing perch). The record is from RNAcentral. Lineage: Eukaryota; Metazoa; Chordata; Actinopteri; Anabantiformes; Anabantidae.
GCUUACGGCCAUACCACCCUGAACACGCCCGAUCUCCUCCGAUCUCGGAAGCCAAGCAGGGUAGGGCGUUGUUAGUACUUGGAUGGGAGACCGCCUGGGAAUACCAGGUGCUGUAAGCU